Molecule: ribosomal RNA, 492 nt
Filed under: uncultured bacterium
Lineage: Bacteria
Description: partial 16S ribosomal RNA
Rfam family: Bacterial small subunit ribosomal RNA
Source: RNAcentral
AGUGAACGCUGGCGGUAGGCCUAACACAUGCGAGUCGAACGGCAGCACAGUAAGAGCUUGCUCUUACGGGUGGCGAGUGGCGGACGGGUGAGGAAUACAUCGGAAUCUACUUUUUCGUGGGGGAUAACGUAGGGAAACUUACGCUAAUACCGCAUACGACCUACGGGUGAAAGCAGGGGAUCUUCGGACCUUGCGCGAUUGAAUGAGCCGAUGUCGGAUUAGCUAGUUGGCGGGGUAAAGGCCCACCAAGGCGACGAUCCGUAGCUGGUCUGAGAGGAUGAUCAGCCACACUGGAGCUGGAACGCGGUCCAGACUCCUACGGGAGGCAGCAGUGGGGAAUAUUGGACAAUGGGCGCAAGCCUGAUCCAGCCAUACCGCGUGGGUGAAGAAGGCCUUCGGGUUGUAAAGCCCUUUUGUUGGGAAAGAAAAGCAGCAGGUUAAUACCCCGCUGUUCUGACGGUACCCAAAGAAUAAGCACCGGCUAACUUCGUG